RNAcentral lists this long non-coding RNA (794 nucleotides) under Nicotiana tabacum (common tobacco). Its description in RNAcentral is "long non-coding RNA (NTAB_LNC008355)". The record is from RNAcentral. Lineage: Eukaryota; Viridiplantae; Streptophyta; Magnoliopsida; Solanales; Solanaceae.
CUUGUACAACUGUCUUACUUUGUUAGUCAAUGUUCCUAGACAUAAAUUUGACAUGAAUUGGAAAUUUUCACUUUCAAGUUAUCCUCUGAUGCAAACAUCACCUUAUACACAAAUCAAUUAUCACUUGGUAAACACAAAACACAAACUCCUCAAAAGAGGGGGAAAAAGAAGAGAAUUUGAGAUGGCAACUAAGAAUCAUCAGAAAGUUAACAUAAAUUUCAUUCCAAAAAGACUUGAAAGCAAGAACUUAACAUAAGCUUCCAUAUAUUACUUUUAAUAAACCUAAGUUGACAAUGAUCAAAAUUUACAUAAGCUCAAGACUAGUCAUUUCAAAAAGCUGGAAAAUAGCUACAAAUUUCAAACACCAAAAGCUCUAUUCCUCGUCUACUUCUACCUCUUCCUUCACUUCAUCAACUACUUCUGUUUCUUCUUUCACUUCCUCAACUACUUCUACUUCUUCCUUCACUUCCUUCUCAGACAACUCAUCUUCAUCCUGAAAUUAUUAAUUUAGAUGUAAGAAUAGGAAAAAUACACAACAAUUUUAAAAAACUACCGACUACAAUUUCCAACAAUAACAAAGAUAACAAGAACCCACAUUGGCAUUCUCAGCAUCAGUGAUAGACUGCUUCAGGGCCUUUUCAUAUGCUGCUUUGAGCUCUGCUGCCUUAUCCUGAUAAGGCUUUUUCUCCUGGUGAAACCAUUUGAACCACAAGAGUAAGAAUCACAUUCGACAUGUUACAACAAACUAGUAAAAACCAUAUUACACAUGCCACUCACCUCAUCAGUCAUGGACU